RNAcentral lists this ribosomal RNA (543 nucleotides) under Triticum aestivum (bread wheat). Its description in RNAcentral is "partial small subunit ribosomal RNA". The record is from RNAcentral. Lineage: Eukaryota; Viridiplantae; Streptophyta; Magnoliopsida; Poales; Poaceae.
AUGGCUCUUGAGAGUGCCAAAGCCGCUAAGGCCGAAGCCGACAAGGCCCUCCAGGAAAUCGAGGCGUUGAAGAAAAUAGCAGCGGGUAAGGCAUUUUUCAUGCAAAGUAAGCAUGUGAGUGUUAAUUACCUGUUGCUUACCCGAAUUCGGAGCUCUCCAGGAGCGUUCGCAGAUCUUCCUCGCAGCGUGUCCGAUGCUGCCGCGUUCUACCGGGCCGAGGAGGGGAGCUCGACGGAGAAGGUCUUCUGGUCUCAGUAUGCUGAGGCCGGACAUCCGAUGCCCCUUAACGACCAGCUGAAGCAGCUGGUCGAGCUCCAUAAGGCGGCCGAACAGGCCAUGAAGGGCCUCAUAGUUCGGCUGUGGCCUAAGGAGGCCAUGCCUGGGAGCUACUUCGGCCUGGUGUGGCGGCUGGUGGAUGCGUGCCCGUGGGUUGAAGUCAUCAAGCACUCCGCCUGUAUUGAAGAUGCCCGUCGGGCCCUUGCCCGCGCAAAGGUGCACUGGGGCAAGAUGGAUGCCCAAAAGCUCGUGACGGCCCGCCACUAG